AUGCACCGCUCUGUCGGGAUUCAGAGUUGCUCACCCGGAAGUAUGCCAGCCUCUCAGCGCGAAGUAGCCCUAGAACUACCACCUACACUCGGAAUAUACCUUGUCGGCAACCCGCCGUUGUCCACGCACAACCAAAAGGAGCUAGAAAGGUACCAGGGACAGUCGCCGAAGGAGGCAGCAGAGCAUCGAGAUGACACGAAGAGCGGCAAGGGAGCAGAGCAACUGACUGCAAAGAAAUUCCGUGAGUCCUCGGCUUUCGCUGCGCCAAGGGGAACCCUAUCCCCUUCAGCAAGGAUCGAAGACGCUGCACCACUGAAAGCGAGUUCUACUCCCCCUUACUCGAAAUACUUGCAUUCCUUGUGGGAGGGGUGUAGCAGGUUCAUAUUAAAGCCAUUGGCUAUGACUUUAAGGUGUCACCAAUCUACCAAUUUUGAUGUGGAAAGCCUUGCUCUUUUCACCAUUGGACAACUUCCAUUUUUGGCUACCACCACUAGAAAACUUAGAUCACCAUUUGGUGAAUGUACUAAGCCAAAGAUCCCUCAUGGCACAUUCGAGAGUCAUGGUGAUCCUAAGACACGCACACAGGCAAGAUUAAUUGGACAUACACAUGAUGAACGGUAUCCAUAUGAUAGUGAAUUCAAUAUUCUUCAUAUGGCAACAAAUUUAGGAUAUAUAAUAGCCACACAACAUCAUUGGGAAUUUCCUCGUGUCACCGAUGUUGUUGUAAUUUUGGCAUCACCGUUGUUGUUAACCACCGGGAUGCUCAUCAUGCAGCCAUUCAAGUCAGAUUUGCCUGAGCUUAUGGACAUUACUCACAUUUGCUGCCUCAUACUGAAUGUUGGUGGACCACCACUAGAAAGGGCUUAUGCCUCAGAUAAGACGAGUCAUUCUGCUGAGGUCAAGCCUGAAUUGGAGAUGCUGAAACGUGUUCAUAGGACCACUCCUGUUAUGGAAGACAAAGGAGUAAAAUACUGGAAGGUGGGUAGCUAUUGUAAUUGCAAUAUAAGCAUAAUGCGUCAAGAAUUCGAUGAAGAAAAUAGAACGAAGAACAAAGACAUGUGGUUCAUGUUCACUGAAGACGAACAUAAAGUUGUUGAAGAUCAUGUAACUACAAGGAAGCCAUGCUCAGUUGCUCACCUGUUCGCGUCUUGCACAACAUCAUUGAUCUUCUGGCGGAUGAUUUUUUCAUUCCUUCCUUCGCUGCAUAGAACUGUGUGUCCCGACGUCUGCGGAGAAAUCAUAACUGGGUGUAAUGAUUUACUGAUCCCAGUCUCCUGCUCGUUCAACUGGUUGAUGGAAGCAUAUGUAAAAGAUAGUGGAGAUGUGCAGAAAUUUGCACAGGAGAUCUCAGUUGCUUCUUCAAACCCCUUCCCCCAUGCUAUAUCAGGAAAAAGCUAG
This 1398-nucleotide ribosomal RNA is filed under the name Triticum aestivum (bread wheat). RNAcentral's name for it is "partial small subunit ribosomal RNA". Lineage: Eukaryota; Viridiplantae; Streptophyta; Magnoliopsida; Poales; Poaceae. The record is from RNAcentral.